GAUGAACGCUAGCGGCAGGCCUAAUACAUGCAAGUCGAACGAGAUUAAGAGGCUUGCUUCUUAUGAAAGUGGCGCACGGGUGCGUAACGCGUAUGCAACCUACCUUAAUCAGGGGGAUAGCCCGAAGAAAUUCGGAUUAAGACCGCAUAAAAACACAGGAUAGCAUUAUCCAAUGUUCAAAUAUUUAUAGGAUUAAGAUGGGCAUGCGUGUCAUUAGCUAGUUGGCGGGGUAACGGCCCACCAAGGCGACGAUGACUAGGGGAUCUGAGAGGAUGACCCCCCACACUGGUACUGAGACACGGACCAGACUCCUACGGGAGGCAGCAGUAAGGAAUAUUGGUCAAUGGAGGGAACUCUGUACCAGCCAUGCCGCGUGCAGGAAGACAGCCCUCUGGGUCGUAAACUGCUUUUAUUCGGGAAUAAACCUUUCUACGUGUAGGAAGCUGAAUGUACCGAAGGAAUAAGGAUCGGCUAACUCCGUG
This 482-nucleotide ribosomal RNA is filed under the name uncultured bacterium. Its description in RNAcentral is "partial 16S ribosomal RNA". It matches the Rfam family "Bacterial small subunit ribosomal RNA", at positions 28 to 507 of the family's 1533-position model. The record is from RNAcentral.